Molecule: ribosomal RNA, 429 nt
Filed under: Bacteroidota bacterium
Lineage: Bacteria; Pseudomonadati; Bacteroidota
Description: Bacteroidetes bacterium partial 16S ribosomal RNA
Rfam family: Bacterial small subunit ribosomal RNA
Source: RNAcentral
UAGGGAAUCUUCGGCAAUGGGGGGAACCCUGACCGAGCAACGCCGCGUGAGUGAAGAAGGUUUUCGGAUCGUAAAGCUCUGUUGUUAAGGAAGAACGAGUGUGAGAAUGGAAAGUUCAUGCUGUGACGGUACUUAACCAGAAAGGGACGGCUAACUACGUGCCAGCAGCCGCGGUAAUACGUAGGUCCCGAGCGUUGUCCGGAGUUAUUGGGCGUAAAGCGAGCGCAGGCGGUUAGAAAAGUCUGAAGUGAAAGGCAGUGGCUCAACCAUUGUAGGCUUUGGAAACUGUUUAACUUGAGUGCAGAAGGGGAGAGUGGAAUUCCAUGUGUAGCGGUGAAAUGCGUAGAUAUAUGGAGGAACACCGGUGGCGAAAGCGGCUCUCUGGUCUGUAACUGACGCUGAGGCUCGAAAGCGUGGGGAGCGAACAGG